This 896-nucleotide small RNA is filed under the name Pongo abelii (Sumatran orangutan). RNAcentral describes it as "processed transcript". The record is from RNAcentral. Lineage: Eukaryota; Metazoa; Chordata; Mammalia; Primates; Hominidae.
GCAUGCCCAGAAGGUUGAGCCCUACUCAGCCUCAUCUGGGUACUGAGUGGGGGCCAGGAUUCAGGUCCAGCCAGUUUCACAGCAGAGCCUGUGCUGUUGGCCAUGAUGGUAAUGGCACUUUCCCACCCAGUCCUUUUUUUUUCAAAUUUAUUUAUUUUGAGUGCUGCAUUCUCUGCCUUUUAUAGUUAAGAAUGUUUUCAAGGUCUGGCGGGAGAUUUUUGUGUUUUGCAUCCAUGAAUGCAGUCAGUGUUUGCAUGUAAAUAGGGAGGGUCAAUUCUCCUGGGCCCCUCUGCUGUGCACCUCAUUGCCCAUAGAAUGCUCCUCUCGGAUCUUGCACCAGAGCACUGGAUGAUGAAGCAAAGCCUUGCAGAGACCUGUGAGUCUGGGGGAGGAAACCAAGACUCCAGGGUGGAGUGAUUGGCUGUAUAUUUCACCUGCAGCCAAGCAAGACCCAGAAGUCUUCCAGUGCUUUGGAGGUUCACAAGAAAUAUGGUGACUCGACUGACACCACAUUAGCGGAGGCCCAGAAGAUUAACAAUGGCUCAAGCCAGGCGGAUGGCACUCUCAAACCAGUGGAUGAAAAAGAGGAGGCAGUGGCCGCCGAGGUCGGCUGGAUGACCUCCGUGAAGGACUGGGCGGGGGUGAUGAUAUCCGCCCAGACACUGACUGGCAGAGUCCUGGUUGUCUUAGUCUUUGCUCUCAGCAUCGGUGCACUUGUAAUAUACUUCAUAGAUUCGUCAAACCCAAUAGAAUCCUGCCAGAAUUUCUACAAAGAUUUCACAUUACAGAUCGACAUGGCUUUCAACGUGUUCUUCCUUCUCUACUUUGGCUUGAGGUUUAUUGCAGCCAACGAUAAGUUGUGGUUCUGGCUGGAAGUGAACUCUGUAGUGGAUUUC